RNAcentral lists this ribosomal RNA (178 nucleotides) under uncultured Chloroflexota bacterium. RNAcentral's name for it is "uncultured Chloroflexi bacterium partial 16S ribosomal RNA". It matches the Rfam family "Bacterial small subunit ribosomal RNA", at positions 1204 to 1382 of the family's 1533-position model. Lineage: Bacteria; Bacillati; Chloroflexota. The record is from RNAcentral.
GUGCCUUGGGCUACACACACGCCACAAUGGACGGUACAAUUAGAUGCAAUGGAGCGAUCCGGAGCCAAUCCCUAAAACCGUUCUCAGUUCGGAUUGCAGGCUGAAACCUGCCUGCAUGAAGCUGGAGUUGCUAGUAACCGCAGGUCAGCCUACUGCGGUGAAUACGUUCUCGGGCCUU